GAUUAUUAAUUUUGCUUUGUUCAAUAAGGUUUUCUAAUAAAUUAUGUUUUUAUCAGAUAUGACAGAAUCUUUUUUAAAAUCUCUUCAAUAUGCUUUUAUUGCUUUUGAGAGGUUUUGUUACUUUGAGUAAAAUUAAGUGUUCAUAACAGACGGGUAGUCAUGAUUGAGUUCAUUGUGU
This 178-nucleotide ribosomal RNA is filed under the name Plasmodium falciparum (malaria parasite P. falciparum). Its description in RNAcentral is "partial small subunit ribosomal RNA". Lineage: Eukaryota; Apicomplexa; Aconoidasida; Haemosporida; Plasmodiidae. The record is from RNAcentral.